This is a long non-coding RNA of Coregonus clupeaformis (lake whitefish), 190 nucleotides long. RefSeq lists it as uncharacterized. The transcript has 2 exons. NCBI's taxonomy places the organism in Eukaryota, Metazoa, Chordata, Actinopteri, Salmoniformes, Salmonidae. The record is from RefSeq and is a predicted model, not a curated record.
CGCGGUAAAGUAGCGGCGGUAAAGUUUAGUACUCUGAAAGAUAAGUUAAAUUAACGACGUGUUUAUUUACAAGUAUUCUUGUUUCUAAGUGGACCCAUUUCCCUCUCAGUUGUGUGCAGCCAGCGAGUUCGACGGUGGAUUGAUGACGGUGGAGAAUUUAGUAGAAGAAUAAAUCCAUCAGUAACCAGAA